UACGUAGGGUGCAAGCGUUGCCCGGAUUUAUUGGGCGUAAAGGGCGCGCAGGCGGCUACGCACGUCCGUUGUGAAAUCGCUCGGCUCAACUGGGCGGGGUCGGCGGAUACGGCGUAGCUGGAGCAAGCUAGGGGGCAAUGGAAUUCCCGGUGUAGUGGUGGAAUGCGUAGAUAUCGGGAGGAACACCAGUGGCGAAGGCGGUUGCCUGGAGCUUUGCUGACGCUGAGACGCGAAAGCGUGGGGAGCAAACAGG
RNAcentral lists this ribosomal RNA (253 nucleotides) under uncultured bacterium. RNAcentral describes it as "partial 16S ribosomal RNA". It matches the Rfam family "Bacterial small subunit ribosomal RNA", at positions 524 to 776 of the family's 1533-position model. The record is from RNAcentral.